This 219-nucleotide unclassified non-coding RNA is filed under the name uncultured Thelephoraceae. Its description in RNAcentral is "sequence contains ITS2". Lineage: Eukaryota; Fungi; Basidiomycota; Agaricomycetes; Thelephorales; Thelephoraceae. The record is from RNAcentral.
ACACCUCAACUCUCGCGGUUUCCCGUGAUGAGCUUGGACUUGGGAGUUUUGUUGGCCUGUGGGCCGGCUCUCCUCAAAUGAAUCAGCUUGCCGGUGUCUGGCGGCAUCAUGGGUGUGAUAACCAUCUACGCUUGUGGAUGUCUGCGAGGUAAACCUCUGGUCUGCAGAGGUUCGCCGGAGCUUAUAGGCGUCUCUCCUUGGCGAAGACAGCAGUUUGAA